Molecule: transfer RNA, 78 nt
Filed under: Candidatus Bathyarchaeota archaeon
Lineage: Archaea; Thermoproteati; Candidatus Bathyarchaeota
Description: tRNA-Pro
Source: RNAcentral
GGCGUUUCCGCUUAAAGAAGCUAAAUUUUCAGUCUGGGGCGCUGGCGAUCCUGGGUUCAAAUCCCAGCUACCCCACCA